RNAcentral lists this ribosomal RNA (498 nucleotides) under uncultured Gammaproteobacteria bacterium. RNAcentral's name for it is "bacterial SSU rRNA". It matches the Rfam family "Bacterial small subunit ribosomal RNA", at positions 38 to 529 of the family's 1533-position model. Lineage: Bacteria; Pseudomonadati; Pseudomonadota; Gammaproteobacteria. The record is from RNAcentral.
GGCGGCAGGCCUAACACAUGCAAGUCGAGCGGCAGCACGGGUACUUGUACCUGGUGGCGAGCGGCGGACGGGUGAGUAAUGCCUAGGAAUCUGCCUGGUAGUGGGGGAUAACGUUCGGAAACGAACGCUAAUACCGCAUACGUCCUACGGGAGAAAGCAGGGGACCUUCGGGCCUUGCGCUAUCAGAUGAGCCUAGGUCGGAUUAGCUAGUUGGUGAGGUAAUGGCUCACCAAGGCGACGAUCCGUAACUGGUCUGAGAGGAUGAUCAGUCACACUGGAACUGAGACACGGUCCAGACUCCUACGGGAGGCAGCAGUGGGGAAUAUUGGACAAUGGGCGAAAGCCUGAUCCAGCCAUGCCGCGUGUGUGAAGAAGGUCUUCGGAUUGUAAAGCACUUUAAGUUGGGAGGAANGGCAGUUACCUAAUACGUGAUUGUUUUGACGUUACCGACAGAAUAAGCACCGGCUAACUCUGUGCCAGCAGCCGCGGUAAUACAGA